UUCGGAAUAGCUCAGUCGGUAGAGCGUCUGACUGUUAAUCAGAAUGUCCCUGGUUCGAACCCAGGUUCCGGAGCCA
RNAcentral lists this transfer RNA (76 nucleotides) under Pseudomonas putida. Its description in RNAcentral is "tRNA-Asn". It matches the Rfam family "tRNA". From Rfam's summary of the family: Transfer RNA (tRNA) molecules are approximately 80 nucleotides in length. Their secondary structure includes four short double-helical elements and three loops (D, anti-codon, and T loops). The record is from RNAcentral. Lineage: Bacteria; Pseudomonadati; Pseudomonadota; Gammaproteobacteria; Pseudomonadales; Pseudomonadaceae.